AUACGUAGGUGGCAAGCGUUAUCCGGAUUUACUGGGUGUAAAGGGCGCGUAGGCGGGGGUGCAAGUCAGAUGUGAAAUCUAUGGGCUUAACUCAUAAACUGCAUUUGAAACUGUAUCUCUUGAGUGCUGGAGAGGUAGACGGAAUUCCUUGUGUAGCGGUGAAAUGCGUAGAUAUAAGGAAGAACACCAGUGGCGAAGGCGGUCUACUGGACAGUAACUGACGCUGAGGCGCGAAAGCGUGGGGAGCAAACAGGAUUAGAUACCCUGGUAGUCCACGCUGUAAACGAUGAAUACUAGGUGUGGGGGGACUGACCCCCUCCGUGCCGCAGUUAACACAAUAAGUAUUCCACCUGGGGAGUACGGCCGCAAGGUUGAAACUCAAAUGAAUUGGCGGGG
Molecule: ribosomal RNA, 396 nt
Filed under: uncultured bacterium
Lineage: Bacteria
Description: partial 16S ribosomal RNA
Rfam family: Bacterial small subunit ribosomal RNA
Source: RNAcentral